GCAUGACCACAUCCAUGACCAAGUCGUUCCCCGAGUGCAGCCUGCCAGCCUGCCAGCCUGCCAGCCUGCCAGCCUGCCAGCCUGCCAGCCUGUAAGCCUUGCCAUUCUUGCCAACCUGAUAGCCUUGUCAGCAUUGCCAGCCUUGACAGCCUUGCCAGCCUUGCCAGCCUGCCAGCCUGCCAGCCUGCCAGCCUGCCAGCCUGCCAGCCUGCCAGCCUGCCAGCCUGCCAGCCUGCCAGCAUUCCAGCCUGCCAGCCUGCCAGCUUG
Molecule: long non-coding RNA, 267 nt
Filed under: Volvox carteri
Lineage: Eukaryota; Viridiplantae; Chlorophyta; Chlorophyceae; Chlamydomonadales; Volvocaceae
Description: long non-coding RNA (VCAR_LNC000659)
Source: RNAcentral